This 253-nucleotide ribosomal RNA is filed under the name uncultured bacterium. Its description in RNAcentral is "partial 16S ribosomal RNA". It matches the Rfam family "Bacterial small subunit ribosomal RNA", at positions 524 to 776 of the family's 1533-position model. The record is from RNAcentral.
UACGUAGGGGGCAAGCGUUGUCCGGAUUUAUUGGGCGUAAAGAGCGUGUAGGCGGCCAGACAGGUCUGUUGUGAAAACUCGAGGCUCAACCUCGAGACGCCGAUGGAAACCGUCUGGCUAGAGUCCGGAAGAGGAGAGUGGAAUUCCUGGUGUAGCGGUGAAAUGCGCAGAUAUCAGGAAGAACACCCGUGGCUAAGGCGGCUCUCUAGUACGGUACUGACGCUGAGACGCGAAAGCGUGGGGAGCGAACAGG